This 449-nucleotide unclassified non-coding RNA is filed under the name Hevea brasiliensis (rubber tree). Lineage: Eukaryota; Viridiplantae; Streptophyta; Magnoliopsida; Malpighiales; Euphorbiaceae. The record is from RNAcentral.
GCCCUCUGUGGUUUCCAUCCCAGCUCAUCAGGGCAACGGAAGGUAGCUUCAUUAAUAGCUUGAUUCUCAAGGGCAAACCUUGUUGUGCCACUGUUGACUCCAAAAUGGAGCAGAAUCACUUGCCCCUGAUCAUUCAACCCAUACUCUUUGUCUACGAUGGCUGAUUCAAACACUUCAUACAACGGACCAAGCCCACCCUGCCCAGCAGUCUCAAGAACAGUGCAACUUCCAAGUGUUAAACCUUUAGGCAACCCUCUCUUUUCCAUAAAUGACUCAAGAUUGCGCACAAUCUUCUCCGUCGGAUUCUCAGCGACUCCAUGGAACUUCUUGAAUCCAGUAACGUGAACGGUAACACCAGAAGGUCCUUCAGAACCCAUCUAUCCGGUUAUGAAACAAAGUUGACCAAGGAAAAUAUGCAGUCACACAAUCUUGGCGCGGCAACCACGGCG